Molecule: ribosomal RNA, 478 nt
Filed under: uncultured bacterium
Lineage: Bacteria
Description: partial 16S ribosomal RNA
Rfam family: Bacterial small subunit ribosomal RNA
Source: RNAcentral
GACGAACGCUGGCGGCGUGCUUAACACAUGCAAGUCGAACGGUAAGGCCCUUCGGGGUACACGAGUGGCGAACGGGUGAGUAACACGUGGGUGAUCUGCCCUGCACUUCGGGAUAAGCCUGGGAAACUGGGUCUAAUACCGGAUAGGACUCCGGACUGCAUGGUCUGGGGUGGAAAGCUUUUGCGGUGUGGGAUGGGCCCGCGGCCUAUCAGCUCGUUGGUGGGGUGAUGGCCUACCAGGGCGACGACGGGUAGCCGGCCUGAGAGGGUGACCGGCCAGACUGGGACUGAGAUACGGCCCAGACUCCUACGGGAGGCAGCAGUGGGGAAUAUUGCACAAUGGGCGCAAGCCUGAUGCAGCGACGCCGCGUGAGGGAUGACGGCCUUCGGGUUGUAAACCUCUUUCAGCAUCGACGAAGCGAAAGUGACGGUAGGUGCAGAAGAAGGACCGGCCAACUACGUGCCAGCCGCCGCCGUAA